Molecule: ribosomal RNA, 259 nt
Filed under: uncultured bacterium
Lineage: Bacteria
Description: partial 16S ribosomal RNA
Rfam family: Bacterial small subunit ribosomal RNA
Source: RNAcentral
ACGAGAAGCGAACCUGCGAAGGCAAGCGGAUCUCUUAAAGCCGUUCUCAGUUCGGACUGUAGGCUGCAACUCGCCUACACGAAGCUGGAAUCGCUAGUAAUCGCAGGUCAGCAUACUGCGGUGAAUACGUUCCCGGGUCUUGUACACACCGCCCGUCACACCAUGGGAGCCGGAAAUGCCCGAAGCCAGUGACCCAACCUUAGGGAGGGAGCUGUCGAAGGUGGAGCCGGUAACUGGGGUGAAGUCGUAACAAGGUACC